UAUGUGAUCGUCUCUCGCAUAUCAAUAAGCGGAGGAAAAGAAACUAACAAGGAUUCCCCUAGUAACGGCGAGUGAAGCGGGAAGAGCUCAAAUUUGAAAUCUUAAAGGGUUUCCCUUUACGAAUUGUAGUUUAAAGAAGUGUUUUCUGUUGAGGUUUUAGGUAAAAGUUCUUUGGAAUAGGACAUCAUAGAGGGUGAGAAUCCCGUAUUUGACCUUUACUUUCAACUCUGUGAUACACGUUCAAAGAGUCGGAUUGUUUGGGAAUGCAGUCCAAAAUGGGUGGUAAAUUUCAUCUAAAGCUAAAUAUUGGCGAGAGACCGAUAGCGAACAAGUACCGUGAGGGAAAGAUGAAAAGAACUUUGAAAAGAGAGUUAAACAGUACGUGAAAUUGUCAAAAGGGAAGCGUUUGACACCAGUGUUGUUCUUCUGAAAAUCAAUUAAAGAACUGUUUAUGCUAAGUUGUUUAGACUUUAUCAGCUAACUGUUUAGUUUUGAGCUUUUCUUUAAUGCACUUUUCAGUUAACAAGUCAACAUCAAUUUCUUUUGCUGUAAAAAAGCUUGAGGAAGGUGGCUUGAGAUUCGUCUUAAGUGUUUAUAGCCUCUUGCCUAUGCAGUCGGAGAGAUUGAGGUCUGCAGCGUAGAUCCUUCGGGGCUAAAUGCAUUUGUGCUAAGUUAUAGCAUUUUAUAGACAACUUGUUGACUAUGAUUUGUCUUGUAGCUUACUCGCUUAUGUUAUUUUACCUACGCUUAGGAUGUUGACUGAUAUGUAGUCGUA
Molecule: ribosomal RNA, 775 nt
Filed under: uncultured Neocallimastigales
Lineage: Eukaryota; Fungi; Neocallimastigomycota; Neocallimastigomycetes; Neocallimastigales
Description: partial large subunit ribosomal RNA
Rfam family: Eukaryotic large subunit ribosomal RNA
Source: RNAcentral